This 867-nucleotide long non-coding RNA is filed under the name Amphimedon queenslandica. RNAcentral's name for it is "uncharacterized LOC105314498, transcript variant X1". The record is from RNAcentral. Lineage: Eukaryota; Metazoa; Porifera; Demospongiae; Haplosclerida; Niphatidae.
CUUGGAGUCUGAAGAUGAUGAAGAUGCUAUUAUUGAGAAAAGAUGUCAAAUGAGGAAGAAUAUUGAACAGAAAUAUCAAUAUGUUCCAUUAUCAGUUGAUAGUGUUAACCCCAGUCCCGCAGUAUCAGUCUGUGUUGUUAGUGAUGAUAUUCUGAUAUUGUAGCUCAAGAGGCAACUGAAGACUUGGAAAAUACCAUCAAUGAGGCUGAGAGGAAGCUCUCCACAGGUGAUGUUCCUCCAGUAUUAAGAACUGAUGAUCAGUUGAUGAGUGAAGAUGAGGUCAAAGAGAUAAAUACAGGACUGAGUACCAUAAAGACAGGAGCUGUACUGGAUAUAUUCAGUGAAGAGGAUAUCACUGGGAAGGAGAAGUCAUGGCUGAGUCCGAGUAAGGCACUGUUAGCUGAUGGUAUUGGAGAGAAUGAUCAUUAACUGAUAACUGGGAUGAUGCUGAAGGAUAUUACAAGGUGCGUAUUGGUGAACAACUGGACAGACUAUACAUGGUCUAUGGGUACACUGGUCAGGGAGUGUUCAGUAAUGUAGUGAGGGCUAGGGACACCUCAAGAUCAAGUCAAGAAGUAGCCAUUAAGAUAAUCAGGAACAAGAUGAUGUAGCCUAUCACCCAGUGACUGCCAGGGAAGAGCAGGCAAUUUCACUCCAAAUCUCUCGAGUGCUUUAAGCAAGUCAUUCAACUGAAGUGGGUCUAAAAAUCAGAAGAUAAAGACGAAACCUUAUAUAUGCAGUAGCUCAUCGAUAGUUUGAGUUCAGUUGCCUUGAUAAGAAAAGCUGCACAAGAUUGGUAUUGCCUGAGUUGGAAAUAUUAAAGAAGUUAAAUGCUACUGAUCCUGAUGACAAGUAAGUUCCUUAGUU